UCGGCCGUCUCGCGUUUGAUUUGACGGUCAUAGGUCGCUCAAUGGUUGGCUGGCGCGACCUUCUACUGGGGUUUGUUAGACUCAGUAUAGUAGUGUAACGAAUAUUACUGAACCUACGUGUACUUUAGACUG
Long non-coding RNA from Haliotis rubra (blacklip abalone), 132 nucleotides. RefSeq lists it as uncharacterized. Lineage: Eukaryota; Metazoa; Mollusca; Gastropoda; Lepetellida; Haliotidae. The transcript is spliced from 2 exons. The record is from RefSeq and is a predicted model, not a curated record.